UGCCAUGUUCUACUGAACGUAACUGCAAAGAAUCGAUAAUUCUCACGGAUCAUAACACGUAGCCCUGGUGUUCAACCCGUUAGGCAACAAAUCUAUUUCUCGACAAUCGAAAAUGAAAAUUUCCUGCAUCGUGGCGAUAAUCGCCUCGAUCCUAAUAUCAGGAGAAUGUAAAAAUUCUAGGUCAUUGUUUAGCGGCUCUAACGAAGAAA
This is a long non-coding RNA of Stegodyphus dumicola, 209 nucleotides long. Lineage: Eukaryota; Metazoa; Arthropoda; Arachnida; Araneae; Eresidae. The record is from RefSeq and is a predicted model, not a curated record.